GAAGCCAAUCAGAUGAUCGCGGAGGUAAGGACCGAAAGGUCGCCUCUGAGGAAAGUCCGAGCUCCACAGGGCGAGGUGCUGGGUAACACCCAGUGGGGGGAACCCCAAGGAUAGUGCAACAGAGAGAUACCGCCUGGUCCUCAGCGUGCUGAAGACUAGGUAAGGGUGGAAAGGCGAGGUAAGAGCUCACCGGCAGCCAGGUGACUGGCUGGCCAUGUAAACCCCACCUGGAGCAAGACUGAAUAGGGGAACUAUGAACGGCCCGUUUUUGUUCCCGGGUAAGGUCGCUAGAGGCCGUCGGUAACGGCGGUUCGAGAUAGAUGAUCAUCACCUCCAUACGGAGGGACAGAACUCGGCUUAUAGAUUGACUUCGCAU
RNAcentral lists this RNase P RNA (376 nucleotides) under Desulfosporosinus fructosivorans. Its description in RNAcentral is "Bacterial RNase P class A". It matches the Rfam family "Bacterial RNase P class A". From Rfam's summary of the family: Ribonuclease P (RNase P) is a ubiquitous endoribonuclease, found in archaea, bacteria and eukarya as well as chloroplasts and mitochondria. Lineage: Bacteria; Bacillati; Bacillota; Clostridia; Eubacteriales; Desulfitobacteriaceae. The record is from Rfam by way of RNAcentral.